UUUUAUCCCCGUCUUACCACGCGCCCUACCCAUGUAAUUAUCCCUCCUCACAUUUCUUGACCACAAAGGAAAAGAAAAAUGGACAGCUGUACAAAGUUGAGGCCAUUUUUACUCUCUUUUGGAUUUGAGAGGAAAAAAAACAUACAAUAUAUUUUCCAGGGGGCCCACAGAUUUUCUUCCACUAGAAAUACCCUCACAAGUCAUCUUCUUCAGAGGGACAAUCUUCAUAUUCACGCACCAGCUCACAGAAACAAUACUAAUACACACACCAGUGAGAGAGAGAUAUAGACGCACACCCGCAGAGAGAAUCAUAGGAGAAAGAGAGAAUCGGGAGAGAGUGAAUAAAAAAGGGGUUGAAUAGUGGUCGGUUGGCGUGAACAGUAAACGUUGAACGGAGUAGGGGGAAGAACAGUUUUUCCCGGUGAGCUUGUCACUGGAAUAGUGCCUCAUCGUAGAGUCCGUCCACUCCUCCCUAAAACUCAAUCAAAACCAGCUUCAAACCCCCUAAAAUUAUGACGCUAGUGCCCGACUACUCCGCCGCCACCGCUGUUACUAUUUCGGCAAUGAAUUUUUCGCCUGGAAUGAGCCAAAUCGAUCAAAAUCGUCCCAAAAAUAUUGAGAAAAUAGUGAGUUCACCUUGGGUUUUCGACAGUUAAGUUAGAGGUCUGUUUGUGAUUUGGUAUUGGAAAAAAAAGGAACAAAGGGGAUAUAUCGAAGUUGGAGUUGUUCGUUUGGUGAGGCUCGAUCUGAGAUUAUGGACGCGAUCCAAUCGAAAGGAGCAACUUUAAUCGAAAGCAACAUUUGAGGUUCAAUUCUAUCUUCUCUAUUUUUUUUGUAGUUUUUAACAUAAUUAUGAAUGAUUUAUGUGUUUGGCAUGUUUGAAUCUUCGUUAUGUGUGGGUUGAUGUUGGAUUUGGAUAUGAAAACUUGAUCGGUGGAUUGUAUAUUGAAUUGGUUUAAUCGUGUUAAAAAAGUUGAGGCGCGAAUUGAAAAUUUACUAAAGUGAAUUAGGAUUAAUUUUGAUUUAUUGUUAUUUUGAUUCAUUGACGCCAUCGAUCAUGAUAGUGCCAUGAUAGGUCGAGUUAGGUAGGCAAAAGUAGGCUGGGUAGGCAAAGUUGAGGACCUGUGAUUGUUGAAAUGAUGAAAUAUUUGUGGAGUGGUUUUGAUUUAUGCACUGAGAUCUAUUGUAUUCAUUUGGCCGGGGAAUGCCCCGAGGGAUUUGUAUUGAUUCACCGGGGAAUGCCCCGACGUAUCAUGUAUUCGGAGGACGUCCGUGAUGAAGGCCCGAAGCAUCGGGUAAGGCAUUGGACAUAGUUUAGGAUUAGUGUAGGUUAGCGUAGGUUUAUUUUUCAGUACCUUUUUUAUCAUUUCGGGUUGUAAUAAUUGGACUGGACAUUAUUAUUUUGAUUUUUGGAUUGUUGUUUGAUGUUUGUUUAUGUGCUUUGUGUGGUUUAUAUAUUUGUGGUGUCUAAUUAGCCGAUACUCUCCACCAAGAGACCAUGGUCGAACCACGGGACCGAGGGGUGCCUAACACCUUCCCCUCGGUCAACAAAAUUCCUUAGUUGAAACCUCUGUUCGCGGAUCAGUUUUACAGAGUCAAAAUCGUUUUGAAAAGGAUUUUCCAAAGGUGACUUGGCACACCGGAUUAUGCCAAGUGGUGACUCUGAGUUUUGAAUAUAAAUAAUUCUUUUCGAAAUAAAUUUUUAUUUUUUGUCACUUUGAUAAUAAAAAUCCUUUCAAACUUAAAACGAAAUCUUUUUUGGGUAAAAAAAGGGUGUGACAGCUCUGGCGACUCUGCUGGGGACUUUUUUUUAGAAUUCAAGCUUAUUUUGGAGUUGUAUCGACUUAGUUUGGCACUAUAGGUAUAUAGACAUUUUGUUUGUGUUGUUUUGUGUUAUUGUUUAUCAUUGUUGAGUGCCUACGUGCUCUUUGUUUACAAUUUUUAUUUUAUGUGUUACCGUUUUAUAUCUGGCAUCAUGUGUAUAACCCGAGCCAUUCUUUCUGCAACAAGUCUAUAGUAUACGCUAUGUACACGACCUCUAGUUGAGUCACCUUUAUCUUAGGGGGGAGUCUUCGACUGGUAUGGAGUGGGUGGAAAGCUAAAACAACCACUAUCGACCAUAUGCUCUCCCGAACAGCCUUGUUAGUGAAUCCCAGCGUAGGUCAGCUUUUAGGUCAUGCUUAUCUGCAUCAUAUUGAGACCUAGCGGGACUCACUUGGUCUUUUGUAGGAGACUCACCUCUAAGGCAUCCCUACGUGCUAAAUGUUACAUCUUUGAGGGUAACGUGGUCAUUUGACGGACUAAUUUAAGGGAAAACAUGUGCUAGAGGUAAAGUGCGUAGACAAGAAAUCAUUUGAAAAAAAAAGGAGUUUCGUAGCUUUUAGUGUUCUUUAUGACUUUUGUUUCCCACAAUUCAAAAAUUCAAAAAGAUUUCUUUAUUUUCUGCACUCAUUUUUUUAAAAACCAAAACAUCAAAAAGAUUUCUCACUUUGUCUCCUUUAGCAUGCAUUCAUAAUUAGAAAUUUUCAAAAAAAAAAAAAAUUAGCAGUUUUUAUAAAAGAAAUUGAAAAAUGGUGAAAGAUUUGUACAUUUCAUAUAGUGAAAAUGUCAAAAAGAUUUUCCUUCAUAAUUGUUGGUGUCAGUUUAGCUGAAGUAUCUAAUUAAAAACCCAAAAAUAUUUUAUUCAUUUGUCUUUGGUUGUGUCUCUUAAGUUAGGGUCAAUUUGUUAGACUAUCGUUAAUUGUACAAUCUGGACGAACUACGCACCCGUGAUUCUGCUCUCUCCGGAGUGAGAUACAUAGGUAACCUAUUUUGGGUUGGGGAUCUUAUUUCAAAAAUUCAAAAAAAGAUUUUCUUCACUCUUCAUUUAGAGUAGGUGUUUCAUGUACAUCUUUAAAAGAAAACAACAAAAAAAUAUUUCCCUUUAAUAGGUUCAGGUUUCAUUUUCAUAUGAAAUUCAAAAUCAAAAAUCAAAAAAUAUUUUUUUCGGUAAUCAUAGAUUUCAUUUUGUACAGAAAUCUGAAAAAUUCAAAAAGAUUUUCUUCACUCUUCACUUAGAGUAGGUGUUUCAUAUACAUCUCUAAAAAACUACAAAAAGAUUUUUCUUUAAUAGUUUGAAGUUUCAUUUUCCUAUGAAAUUCAAAAUCGAAAACCCUAAAAGAUUUUUAUUUGGUAAUCAUGGGUUUCAUUUUGUAUAGGGAUGUUAAGACUAAAAAAUGCAAAAAAAGAUUUUCGUCAAUUCUUUUGACAAUUUGUUAUUUUCUUUUCUUCUUAAAGUUUCAAAAAGAAAACAAAGAGUUCAAUUGGCCGUUUUGGCACGACUUAACGAACUACGCACACCUGAUUCUCCUCUCUCGGUGGUGAGAUACGUAGGUGCCCUUCUUGGGUUCGGUGAUCUUUUCAAGAAAAAAAAGGGAGAGAGAGGUUUUGAAAAAUGUUGAACUCUAACAUAUUUGUUGCCUCUUGUUCAGUUAGUUUAAGGUGGUUGGUUUGUGGCUUACUGGUUGGUCCUCCAUAUCACACCAAAUCCAAGGAGGGGUUAGUUGUGUCCAACAAGGAUAUAGAAAGUGGCAUCAUGGAUGAAACAAAGAUUCAGGAAAUUGAGAGUUUAAAGAAAGAGAAUUUGAGACUGAGACAACAAGUGAUGGAAAUAUACCGAGCUUGGACCAGUGGGCUGCCUCCACCUCUGUUUCCCACUUUUGGCCCUGCAAAUACCUUGAGUCUUCCACCAAAAUCGUAAAGUCAGUUUCUGUCUUCUUAUCCACAAUGGCAUGCUCCUGUCCCUCAACAUCGUCCUCGACCCCCACGAAUUUACCAAGGAACCUCUAAAUCCAAGUUUCAUCUAAGGCUAGAGUUAGUGUUGUAAAACAUUUCAUAAGUGAUCUUUAUCGUGCAAUUUUGUAUUGCAUGCUAUGUACUAGCAUUUUCAAAAAUUGAUAUGACGAAGGCAUUUCAUUCUGCUUUCCAAAUAUUGUGUCAUCCUUUGUUUACCCCAUUUGGGCCUUAGUGUUAUUUUCUUUUAUACCCCUCUUUUGGAAUCAAGAUAAAGUCAACAAAAUCCAAAAAAAGUGUCGAAAAAGAAAAAAAAGAUGAGUGUCAAGAAAAAUAAAGUCAGAAAAGUCCCAAAGAUAAAAAGAGUCGACAAAAGAAAAAAAAUAGAAUCAAGUGAAAGAACAAGUUGCCAGAACUACGCAUGACUUGAUUCUCCUCUCUCGAGGGUGAGAUACGUAGGCUGCCUUACUCAGGGCUCGGUCCAACCAAAUAAAUAAUUUAGAAUUGCCCAGUCAAAAAUUGGGGCUUGAGUUAAUCCUCAUUGUUUGAGUCGAUUCCAAAAGUUGUAAGUCCUACCCCACUUUUAGUAUUGUUUGGGCCCCAUGCCAUCCUUUAUUUUCAACCCUAUCCAAAAGCCAAGUUACAAUCAAAGAAAGACCUUCAGAUCAAUCUUUGAGAAUGUUAAGGCUAAGUAUGCAAUGGAUGUGAUGACACAUUUUGAGAACUACUCGUCUUCCUCAGCAUAAAAAAUCAGGAGAGAAAUAAAAAUGAGAGAGUUUUAUUGGUGAAAACCCUCACGGGCACCAUAAGGAGAUGGUAAAUUAAGAAAGAUAAAAAUGAGAGAGUUUUAUUAGUGAAAACCCUCACAGACACCAUAAGGCGAUGGUGAGUUGAGAGAAAAAUGAGAGAGGCUUGUUUGAGAAAACCCUUCAAGGUGCCACUAGCCGAAUGAGGUCUCCGAAUGCAAUGGGUCUAAGUAAGAAACUCAGUUUCAGGGCCAUUAACUCAACAACAAUUGGUAGAAAGUUUGGAUGAAAAGAUCAGGCUGCUUAAUCCAAAAUGCACAGUAUAAUUAUUAGAGUUGACUGUCAUUUUUAGAUUAAUUUAUUGUUUCUUUGUUACAAAUGAGGAUAUUCAUUUUCUUUCCUUUCUUUUCUUUAUUUUUAUUUUAUCUUUCUUGAGUCAGUUAUCCAAAUAAAAAAAUUGUCUUUCUUUUUUUUCUUUUCUUGUCUUUGAGUCAAGUCCAUGUCAAAACAAGUGAGAAAAGAUUUUAAAACUGGCUAUCAGCUUCUUCAAUUGCACAAAGCAAGACAAAAGGGACAGCACAUGCAAAAGACAUGAUUGUGAGCCGAAAUAAGGCAUACAAAAAUUGUGUCAACAGACAAGUUUGGGAACUCAUGAAAAUACCAAGGUUCAAAGGGUUUAUAUGAUGAGCAUGACGAAGCAGAGAUAUCAUUUUAUUUCAGAGUCACUUUUAAUAAACUGAAUUUAGGUCAAUGAUGCAGCAAGUCAAUGAUAAAUGCUAAUGGUUGGAAGCAAGGUUAAAUGUGAUGGGGCAAGAGCGAUCGUCGCGAAAGCUAAAGCCACAAACCAGCCACCGUGUUUUAAACUCACAAGUUUUCUUUGAUGAAAUAGGAAACAUAUUACCUUCAAAGCAAGGACGUCAGAGCAUAAAUAUCAAGGCUUUCAAUGCCUCACGUUUAAAUAUGCACGAAGAAAUGUUGCUGCACAGGUUUGGUAAUCAAAUCAUUGUAAAAUUCAUCAUCUUAUAUCCCUCGGAGACACAUUUUCUUGUCCAGGGAUUUCAUUUUUCAUUUGCUGGGUGAUACACUUCUUAAAUUGAUCCUUCACUCCUAAAAGACGUACCUUUUAGUCGAGUCAUCCCCUUUGACCCCAAAAGACGUACCUUUUAGUAGAGUCAUUUCCUUUGAUUCCUAUAAGACAUACCUUUUACUCGAAUCAUUCCCGCUUGACUCCUAGAAGACGUACCUUUUAGUCGAGUCAUUCCCCUUAACCCCUAGAAGACGUACCUUUUAGUCGAUUCAUUCCUUUGAUUCCUAUAAGACGUACCUUUUAGUCGAGUCAUUCCUCUUGACCCCUAGAAGAAGUACCUUUUAGUAGAGUCAUUUCCUAUGAUUCCUAUAAGACGUACCUUUUAGUCGAGUCAUUCCUCUUGAGGCCUUGACCCCUAGAAGACGUACCUUUUAGUUGAGUCAUAUCCCUUGAUUCCUAUAAGAUGUACCUUUUAGUCGAGUCAUUCCCCUUGAGUCCUUGACCCCUAGAAGACGUACCUUUUAGUUGGGUCAUAUCCCUUGAUUCCUAUAAGACGUACCUUUUAGUCGAGUCAUUUCCUUUGAUUCCUAUAAGACGUACCUUUUACUUGAGUCAUCACCCCUUGAUUCCUAUAAGACGUACCUUCUAGUCGAGUCAUUCCCUUGAUUCCUAUAAGACGUACCUUUUAGUCGAGUCAAUUUCUUUGAUUCCUAUAAGACGUACCUUAUAGUCGAGUCAUUCUCCUUGAUUCCUAUAAUGAUGUGACUUUCACAAAAGUCCUUUGAUAAUAAACUGGGGCAAAAUUUAAUUCUUAUUUUUGGAACUUUACUUUUCUGGCAAACAAAAUUUCUCUUUAUGAAAAACUUUGUUUGGGAUAAUUUUCUUGUUAGUUUUGAUAUGAUUUCAGAAGCCCGCCUGAAGAACAGGGUGAUGAGAUAGAAAGUCAGGAGCCCACCUGAAGAACAGGGAUGAUGAAAUGGCAAGUCAGGAACCCGCCUGAAGAAUAGGGUGAUUAAAUAGUAAGUCAGGAGCCCUCCUGAAGAAUAGGGCGGAUAAAUGGAAAAUCUAGAACAAGGUGAAAAAAAUCUGAAAAAACAAGCAAAAAGGUGAAGCAAUUGAAAGUCAAGCAACAAGUUGAAUAAAUUGCAAAUCAGGAGCCCACCUGAAGAAUAGUGUGAUGAAACUUAAGUCAAGAGUCCAAAAGAAGAUGCAUAGAUAGAAUUUCUGUAAUUUUAUUUAUGUUUUUAACUCGUAAUUUUCAUUUUGAUGUAAUGAUAGAGCUGUGGACCGAAACCUUGAUGGAACCUCACUCGACUCUCCAACUCGGUAUAGUCCUUCUCUUUCAAAUAUUUUGAAAUACUGGUCCCUUGAUUCCUCCAUAACUUCGGUAGAUAGGUUGUCCUAAGUCAGGACUCGGUUGUCUUUCUUUCUUUUGUUCCUUCCUUUGAAUAAUGAUCGGGUCAAAAUUCUGUCUUGUUGUCUACUAUUUUGUCUGAAAACACUUCGUGUUUACAUUCAAAGGGGGCAUGAGGUAGACACCUAAUUUUGUCCCUCCUAAAGACCCAAGUUACACAUUUUAUCCUCGUUUUACCACGCGCCCUACCCUAUGUAAUUAUUCCUACACAAAAUGAUAAAUAUAACAACCCUUAGCAAAUUUUAUCUUUGUUCUAACAACCUCCUCAAUUAAAAGCGGACACCUCACCACCCCACUACCCCAUCCACGUGACCCUCCCUCCUCACAUUUCUUGACCACAAAGGAAAAUAAAAACGGACAACUGUACAAAGUUGUGGCCAUUUUUGCUCUCUUUUGGAUUUGAGAGGAACAAAAACUUACAAUAUAUUUCCCAGGGGCCCCACAGAUUUUCUUCCAUUAGAAAUACCCUCACAAGUCAUCUUCUUCAGAUGGACAAUCUUCAUAUUCACGCACCAGCUCACAGAAACAAUACGAAUACACACACCAGUGAGAGAGAUAUAUAGAUGUACACACUCAUAGAGAACCAUAGGAGAAGGAGAGAAUCGGGAGAGAGCGAAUAAAAAAGGGGUCUGAACAGUGAUCGGCCGAUGUGAAUAGUAAAUGCUGAACGGAGUAAGGGGAAGAACAGCUUUUCCCGAUGAGCCUGUCACCAAAAAAGUACCUCAUCGUAGAGUCCGUCCACUCCUCCCUAAAACCCAAUCGAAACCAGCUUUAAACUCCCUAAAAUUGUGACGCCAGUGCCCGACUACUCCGCCGCCGCCACUGUUACUGUUCCAGCGAUGGAGUUUUCGCCUAGAAUGCACCAAAUUGGUCAAAAUCGUCCCAAAAAUAUCAAGAAAACAGUGAGUUCACCUUGGGAUUUCAACAGUUAAGUUAGAGGUCUGUUUGUGAUUUGGUAUUGGUGAAAAAUGGAACAAAGGGGAUAUAUCGAAGUUGGAGUUGUUCGUUUGAAGAGGCUCGAUCCGAGAUUAUGGAUGCGGUCCAAUUGGAAGGAACAACUUUAAUCUAAAGCAACAUUUGAGGUUCAAUUCUAUCUUCUCUAUUUUUUUUUAGUUUUUAACAUAAUUAUGAAUGAUUUAUGUGUUUGGCAUGUUUGAAUCUUCGUGAUGUGUGGGUUGAUGUUGGAUUUGGAUAUGAAAACUUGAUCGGUGGAUUUUAUAUUGAAUUGGUUUAAUCAUAUUAAAAAAGUUUGGGCGCGAAUUGAAAAUUUUCUAAAGUGAAUUAGGAUUAAUUUUUAUUUAUUGUUAUUUUGAUUCAUUGACGCCGUCGAUCAUGAUAGUGCCAUGAUAGGUCAAGUUAGGUAGGCAAAAGUAGGUUGGGUAGGCAAAGUUUAGGAUCUGUGAUUGUUGAAAUGAUGAAAUAUUUGUGGAGUGGUUUCGAUUUAUGCAUUGGGAUCUAUUGUAUUCAUUUGGCCGGGGAAUGCCCCGAGGGAUUUGUAUUGAUUCACCGGGGAAUGCCCCGACGUAUCAUGUAUUCGGAGGACGUUCGUGAUGAAGGCCCGAAGAAUCGGGUAAGGCAUUGGAUCGUAGUUUAGGAUUAGUGUAGGUUAGCGUAGGUUUAUUUUUCAGUACCUUUUUUUCAUUUUGGGUUAUAAUAAUUGGACUGGACAUUAUUAUUUUGGUUUUUGGAUUGUUGUUUGAUGUUUGUUUAUGUGCUUUGUUUGGUUUAUACAUUUGUGGUGUCUAAUUAGCCGAUACUCUCCACCAAGAGACCAUGGUCGAACCAUGGGACCGAGGGGUGCCUAACACCUUUCCCUCGGUCAAUAAAAUUCCUUAGUCGAAAUCUCUGUUCGCGGAUUAGUUUUACAGAGUCAAAAUCAUUUUGAAAAGGGUUUUCCAAAGGUGACUUGGCACACCAGAUUAUGCCAAGUGGCGACUCUGAGUUUUGAAUUUAAAUAAUUCUUUUCAAAACAAACUUUCAUUUUUUGUCACUUUGAUAAUAAAAAUCCUUUCAAACUUAAAACAAAAUCGUUUUUGGGUAAAAAAAAAAGGGUGUGACAGCUCUGGCGACUCUGCUGGGGACUUUUUUUUAGAAUUCGAGCUUAUUUUCAAAUUGUAUCGGCUUAGUUUGGCACUAUAGGUGUAUAGACAUUUUAUUUGUGUUGUUUUGUGUUAUUGUUUAUCAUUGUUGAGUGCCUACGUGCUCUUUGUUUACAGUUUUUAUCUUAUGUGUUACCGUUUUAUAUCUGGCAUCAUGUGCAUAACCCGAGUCAUUCUUUCUGCAACAAGUCUGUAGUACACGCUAUGUACACGACCUCUAGUUGAGUCACCCUUAUCUUAGGGGGGAGCCGUCGGCUGGUAUGGAGUGGAUGGAAAGCUAAAGCAGCCACUAUCGACCAUAUGCUCCCCCGAAUAGCCUUGUUAGUGAACCCCAGCGUAGGUCAGCUUUUAGGUCAUGCUUAUCUGCAUCACAUUGAGACCUAGCGGGACCCACUUGGUCUGUUGUAGGAGACUCACCUCUAAGGCAUCCCUACGUGCUAAAUGUUGCAUCUUUGAGGGUAACGUGGUCAUUUGACGGACUGAUUUGAGGAAAAAUAUGUGCUAGAGGUAAAGUGCGUAGACAAGAAACCGUUUGAAAAAAAAAAAGGUGUUCCGUAGAUUUUAGUGUUCUUUAUGGCUUUUGUUUUCCAUAAUUCAAAAAUUCAAAAAAAAAUCUUUAUUUUCUGCACUCAUUUUUUUAAAAACCAAAACAUCAAAAAGAUUUCUCACUUUGUCUCCUUUAGCAUGUAUUCAUAAUUAGAAAUUUUCAAAAAAAAAAAAAAUAGUAGUUUUUAUAAAAGAAAUUGAAAAAUGGUAGAAGAUUUGUACAUUUCAUAUAGCGAAAAUGUCAAAAAGAUUUUUCUUCAAAAUUGUUGGUGUCAGUUUAGCUGAAGUGUCUAAUUAAAAACCAAAAAAGAUUUUAUUUGUUUGUCUUUGGUUGUGUCUCUUAAGUUAGGGUCAAUCUGUUAGUUAAUCGUUAAUUGUAGAAUCUGGACGAACUACGCACCCCUGAUUCUCCUCUCUCGGGAGUGAGAUACGUAGGCAACCUAUUUUGAUUUCGGGGAUCUUAUUUCAAAAAUUCAAAAAAAGAUUUUCUUCACUCUUCAUUUAGAGUAGAUGUUUCAUGUACAUCUUUAAAAGAAAACAACAAAAAAAUAUUUCCCUUUAAUAGGUUCAGGUUUCAUUUUCGUAUAAAUUCAAAAUCAAAAAUCCAAAAAUAUUUUUUUUGGUAAUCAUAGAUUUCAUUUUGUACAGAAAUCUGAAAAAUUCAAAAAGAUUUUCUUCACUCUUCAUUUAGAGUAGAUGUUUCAUGUACAUCUUUAAAAGAAAACAACAAAAAAAUAUUUCCCUUUAAUAGGUUCAGGUUUCAUUUUCGUAUAAAUUCAAAAUCAAAAACCCUAAAAAACUUUUCUUUGGUAAUCAUGGGUUUCAUUUUGUAUAGGGAUGUUAAGCCUAAAAAAUGCAAACAAAAAAGAUUUUCGUCAAUUCUUUUGACAAUUUGUUAUUUUCUUUUCUUCUUAAAGUUUCAAAAAGAAAAAAAAAGAAAACAAAGAGUUCAAUUGACCGUUUUGGCACGACUUCACGAACUACACACACCUGAUUCUCCUCUCUCGGGGGUGAGAUAUGUAGGUGCCCUUCUUGGGUUCGGUGAUCUUUUCAAGAAAAAAAAAGAGAGAGAGGUUUUGAAAAAUGUUGAACUCUAACAUAUUUGUUGCCUCUUGUUCAGUUAGUUUAAGGUGGUUGGUUUGUGGCUUCCUGGCUGGUCCUCCAUAUCACACCAAAUUCAAGGAGGGGUUAGUUGUGUCCAACAAGGAUAUAGAAAGUGGCAUCAUGGAUGAAACAAAGAGUAAAGAAAUUGAGAAUUUAAAGUAAGAGAAUUUGAGACUAAGACAACAAGUGAUGAAAAUGUAUAGAGCUUGGGCCAGUGGGCUGCCUCCAUCUCUGUUCCCCACUUUUGACCCUGCAAAUACCUUGAGUCUUGUACCAAAAUCGCAAAUUCAAUCUCCGUCUUCUUAUCUACAAUGGUAUGCACCUGUCCCUCAACAUCGUCCUCGACCCCCACGAAUUUACCAAGGAACCUCUAAAUCCAAGUUUCAUCCGAGGCUAGAGUUCACAAAGAGGAGGAAGGAAAAGGAUAAUUUCACUCCUAUUGAGGAUUCCUAUGCUAGUUUAUUCCAGAGAUUGAGAUAGAGGGCCAUGAUUACUCCUCUCCUUGGGUAUACACCUGACCCAUAUUCAAGAAAUUUUGAUCCUAAUGUACGAUGUGCAUAUCAUUAGGAUGUUCAGGGUCAUAGUAGUGAAGAUUGUCGUACUUUGAAAAGAGAAAUAGAAAAGAUAAUUCAAGAUAAAUUGAUUGUGGUGCAAAACAUUGGCCCUUCGACCAUCCCACAGGGUUCUUCACCAGCACGCGGUACUGCACAAUAUGUGGGAGGCAAUGAGUUAAGCAUGGGGAUCCAGAACUUAUUUGUUGAAGAAAAUAUGUCUGACAGUGGUGGAAGCUCUAGUCAUGCUGAUAUGCAAAUCAGUGGCUAAUAUGUCAGGCUGAGCAAUUGAGAAGUCACCCGUCUCCCUACAAGGAAGAGGUCUAGUAGUUUGUUUUCUUUUCUUUUCUAUUUUUUAAAUUAUUUCAGGGUUAUAGUUCGGGAUCUAUCUUGUUUUGUCCCUUUGUCAUUUAUGUUCAAACUUUUUUAUCUUUUGUUUCAAAUAUGUGUUGUUGGUUUGUUUUCUUUAUACAGUACAUUUUAUGUUGAUUCUAGUGAUAUAAUAUGCCUGCAAAAUUUUCAGUCUGAUCUUAAAAUCCCAGCUUAAUCAUGAAGCAUUGAAUCAGAGAGUUAAAGUUAGGAAAAGAGAGCAUAUGAGAAAAUAGAUAGAGUGUUGGGGCAUUUGGUGAUCAAGUUGAAGCCUUCUUUGAAAAUUAAGGCAAUUAUUUUGAGAAUCGUGAGAAUAACUUGGUUAGUAUUUGAAAGACAUGUUUCAAUUAGUUCAAACAGUGGAUGUGCGAUCCUACAUCAAAAGGAAUAGAAAAACUAGCUCCACGAAAGCAUGAGGAAUGUACAACAAAGUGGAGUUGUAUGUUAGGCAAGUGUAGAAAAACAAGUGGCACACAUGCUCGGGGCAAGUUAGUGUUGUAAAACAUUUCAUAAGUGAUCUUGAUCGUGCAAUUUCCCAUUGCAUGCUAUGUACUAGCAUUUUCAAGAAUUAAUAUGACGAAAGCAUUUCAUUCUGCUUUCCAAAUAUUGCGUCAUCCUUUGUUUACCCCCAUUUGGGCCUUAGUGUUAUUUUCUUUCAUACCCCUCUUUUGGAAUCAAGAUAGAGUCAACAAAAUUCAAAAAAUGUAUCGAAAAAGAAAGAAAAGAUGAGUGUCAAGAAAAAUAAAGUCAGAAAAGUCCCAAAGAGAAAAAGAGUCGACAAAAGAAAAAAAUACAAUCAAGUGAAAGAACAAGCUGCCAGAAAUACGCAUGACCUGAUUCUCCUCUCUCGAUAGUGAGAUACGUAGGCUGCCCUACUCAGGGCUCGGUUCCAAGCAAAUAAAUAAUUUAGAAUUGCCCAGUCAAAAACUGGGGCUUGAGUUAAUCCUCAUUGUUUGAGUCGAUUCCAAAAGUUGAAAGUCCUACCCCACUUUUAGUAUUGUUUGGGCCCCAUGCCAUCUUUUAUUUUCAACCCUAUCCAAAAGCCAAGUUACAACCAAAGAAAGACCUUCAGAUCAAUCUUUGAGAAUGUUAAGGCUAAGUAUGCAAUGGAUGUGAUGACACAUUUUGGGAACUACUCGUCUUCCUCAGCAUAAAAAAUCAGGAGAGAAAUAAAAAUGAGAGAGUUUUAUUGGUGAAAACCCUCACGGACACCAUAAGGCGAUGGUAAGUUGAGACAGAUAAAAAUAAAAGAGUAUUAUUGGUGAAAACCCUCAUGGGCACCAUAAGAUGAUGGUGAUUUGAGAGAAAAAUGAGAGAGGCUUGUUGGAGAAAACCCUUCAAGGUGCCACUAGCCGAAUAAGGUCUCUGAAUGCAAUGGGUCUAAGUAAGAAACUCAGUUUCAGGGUCAUUAACUCAACAACAAUUGGUAGAAAGUUUUGAUGAAAAGAUCAGGUUGCUUAAUCCAAAAUGCACAGUAUUAUUAUUAGAGUUGACUGUCAUUUUUAGAUUAAUUUAUUGUUUCUUUGUUUCAAAUGAGGAUAUUUAUUGUCUUUCCUUUCUUUUCUUUAUUUUUGUUUUAUCUUUCUUGAGUCAGUUAUUCAAAUAAAAAAAUUGUCAUUCUUUUUUUUUCUUUUCUUGUCUUUGAGCCAAGUCCAUGUCAAAACAAGUGAGAAAAGAUUUUAAAACUGGCUACCAGUUUCUUCAAUUGUACAAAGCAAGACAAAAGGGACAGCACAUGAAAAGACAUGAUUGUGAGCCGAAAUAAGGCAUACAAAAAUUAUGUCAAUAGACAAGUUUGGGAACUCAUGAAAAUACCAAGGUUCAAAGGGUUUAUAUGAUGAGCAUGGCGAAGCAGAGAUACCGUGUUUGUUUCAGAGUCACUCUUAAUAAUCUGAGUUUGGGUCAACGAUGCAGCAAGUCAAUGAUAAAUGCUUAUGGUUGGAAGCAAGGUUAAAUGUGAUGGGGCAAGAGCGAUCGUCGUGGAAGCUAAAGCCACAAACCAGCCACCGUGUUUUAAACUCACAAGUUUUCUUUGAUGAAAUAGGAAACAUAUUACCUUCAAUGCAAGGACUUCAGAGCAUAAAUAUCUAGGCCUGCAAUGCCUCACUUUUAAAUAUGCAUGAAGCAAUGUUGCUGCAAAGGUUUGGUAAUCAAAUCAUGGUAAAAUUCAUCAUCUUAUAUCCCUCGGAGACACACUUUUUUAUCCAGGGAUGUCAGUUUUCAUUUGCUGGGUGAUACACUUCUUAAAUUGAUCCUUCACUCCUAAAAGACGUACCUUUUAGUCGAGUCAUUCCCUUUGAUUCCUAUAAGACGUACCUUUUAGUCGAGUCAUCCCCUUUGACCCCUAAAAGACGUACCUUUUAGUAGAGUCAUUUCCUUUGAUUAAGACGUACCUUUUAGUAGAGUCAUUUCCUUUAAUUCCUAUAAGACGUACCUUUUAGUCGAGUCAUUCCUCUUGACCCCUAGAAGAUGUACCUUUUAGUCGAGUCAUUCCUUUGAUUCUUAUAAGACGUACCUUUUAGUUGAGUCAUUCCUCUUGACCCUUAGAAGACGUACCUUUUAGUAGAGUCAUUUCCUUUAAUUCCUAUAAGACGUACCUUUUAGUCGAGUCAUUCCUCUUGACCCCUAGAAGACGUACCUUUUAGUCGAGUCAAUUUCCCUGAUUCCUAUAAGACGUAUCUUUUAGUCGAGUCAUUCCCUUGAUUUCUAUAAGACGUACCUUUUAGUCGAGUCAUUCCCUUUGAUUCUUAUAAGACUUACCUUGUAGUCUAGUCAUCUCCCUUGAUUCCUAUAAGAUGUACCUUUUAGUCGAGUCAUUCCCCUUGAGGCCUUAACCCAUAGAAAACGUACCUUUUAGUUGAGUCAUCUCCCUUGAUUCCUAUAAGACGUACCUCUUAGUCGAGUCAUUUCCUUUGAUUUCUAUAAGACGUACCUUUUAGUUGAGUCAUCACCCCUUGAUUCCUAUAAGACAUACCUUACUUUCACAAAAGUCCUUUGAUGAUAAACUGGGGCAAAAUUUAAUUCUUGUUUUUGGAACUUUACUUUUCUGGCAAACGAAAUUUCUCUUUAUGAUAAUCUUUGUUUGGGAUAAUUUUUUUUCAGUUUUGAUAUGAUUUCAAGAGCCCGCCUGAAGAACAAGGUGAUGAGAUAGAAAGUCAGGAGCCCACCUGAAGAACAGGGGUGAUGAAAUGGCAAGUCAGGAACCUACCUGAAGAAUAGGGUGAUUAAAUAGUAAGUCAGGAGCCCAACUGAAAAACAGGGCGGAUAAAUGGAAAAUCAAGAACAAGGUGAAAAAGUUGAAAAGACAAGCAACAAGGUGAAGCAAUUGAAAGCCAAGCAACAAGUUGAAGAAAUUGCAAAUCAGGAGCCCGCCUGAAGAAUAGGGUGAUGAAACUCAAGUCAAGAGUCCAAAAGAAGAUGCAUAGAUAGGAUUUUUGUAAUUCCAUUUAUGUUUUUAACUCGUAAUUUUCAUUUUGAUGUAAUGACAGAGCUGUGGACCGGAACCUCGAUGGAACCUCACUCGACUCUCCAACUUAGUAUAGUCCUUCUCUUUCAAAUAUUUUGAAAUACCGGUCACUUGAUUCAUUCAUAACUUGGGUAGAUAGGUUGUCCUAAGUCAGGACUCGGUUGUCAUUCUUCCUUCUGUUCCUUCCUUUGAAUAAUGGUCGGGUCAAAAUUCUAUCUCAUUGUCUACUAUUUUGUCUGAAAACACUUCGUGUUUACAUUCAAAGGGGGCAUGAUGUAGACACCUAAUUUUGUCCCUCCCGAAGACCCAAGUUACACAUUUUUAUCCUCGUCUUACCACGCGCCCUACGCCAUGUAAUUAUCCCUACACAAAAUGACAAAAAUAAUAAUCCUUAAAAAAUUUUAUCUUUGUUCUAACAAACUCCCCAAUUAAAAGCGGACACCUCACCACCCCACUACCCCAUCCACGUGACCCCCCCUCCUCACAUUUCUUAACCACAAAGGAAAAGAAAAAC
Molecule: long non-coding RNA, 15607 nt
Filed under: Capsicum annuum
Lineage: Eukaryota; Viridiplantae; Streptophyta; Magnoliopsida; Solanales; Solanaceae
Description: long non-coding RNA (CANN_LNC016618)
Source: RNAcentral